CAACGCUGGCGGCGUGCCUAACACAUGCAAGUCGAACGCGAAAGCCCCGCAAGGGGUAAGUAGAGUGGCAAACGGGUGAGUAACGCGUGGGUGACCUGCCUUCGAGCGGGGGAUAACGUUUCGAAAGGAACGCUAAUACCGCAUAACAUCCUGCCUUUGAAGAGGUGGAGAUCAAAGCUGGGGAUCGCAAGACCUGGCACUUGAAGAGGGGCCCGCGUCCGAUUAGCUAGUUGGUGAGGUAACGGCUCACCAAGGCUUCGAUCGGUAUCCGGCCUGAGAGGGCGGACGGACACACUGGGACUGAGACACGGCCCAGACUCCUACGGGAGGCAGCAGUGGGGGAUUGUUCGCAAUGGGCGCAAGCCUGACGACGCAACGCCGCGUGGAGGAUGAAGACCUUCGGGUCGUAAACUCCUUUCGAUCGAGACGAAAGGCUUCUGGGUGAAUAUCCCGGAAGAUUGACGGUACCGAGAGAAGAAGCCCCGGCUAACUCCGUGCCAGCAGCCGCGGUAAUACGGGGGGGGCAAGCGUUGUUCGGAAUUACUGGGCGUAAAGGGCUCGUAGGCGGCCAACUAAGUCAGACGUGAAAUCCCUCGGCUUAACCGGGGAACUGCGUCUGAUACUGGAUGGCUUGAGAUUGGGAGAGGGAUGCGGAAUUCCAGGUGUAGCGGUGAAAUGCGUAGAUAUCUGGAGGAACACCGGUGGCGAAGGCGGCAUCCUGGACCAACACUGACGCUGAGGAGCGAAAGCCAG
RNAcentral lists this ribosomal RNA (753 nucleotides) under uncultured soil bacterium. RNAcentral describes it as "bacterial SSU rRNA". It matches the Rfam family "Bacterial small subunit ribosomal RNA", at positions 31 to 763 of the family's 1533-position model. The record is from RNAcentral.